GUCGCAGUAGCUCAGUCUGGGAGAGCGUUCGACCUUUCCGAUGGCUUUUACGUCGGGAGGGGACGAAGCUGAAGACCGAAAUGUCGGGUGUUCAAAUCACCCCUGCGACA
Molecule: transfer RNA, 110 nt
Filed under: Candidatus Micrarchaeota archaeon CG10_big_fil_rev_8_21_14_0_10_59_7
Lineage: Archaea; Nanobdellati; Microcaldota
Description: tRNA-OTHER
Rfam family: tRNA
About the family: Transfer RNA (tRNA) molecules are approximately 80 nucleotides in length.
Source: RNAcentral